Molecule: ribosomal RNA, 254 nt
Filed under: uncultured bacterium
Lineage: Bacteria
Description: partial 16S ribosomal RNA
Rfam family: Bacterial small subunit ribosomal RNA
Source: RNAcentral
UACGUAGGCAGCGAGCGUUGUUCGGGGUUACUGGGCGUAAAGGGUGUGUAGGCGGUUCUUUAAGUUUGGUGUGAAAUCUCCCGGCUCAACCGGGAGGGUGCGCCGAAUACUGAGGGACUUCGAGUGCGGGAGAGGAAAGUGGAAUUCCUGGUGUAGCGGUGAAAUGCGUAGAUAUCAGGAGGAACACCGGUGGUGUAGACGGCUUUCUGGACCGUAACUGACGCUGAGACACGAAAGCGUGGGUAGCAAACAGG